This 199-nucleotide long non-coding RNA is filed under the name Elaeis guineensis (African oil palm). RNAcentral describes it as "long non-coding RNA (EGUI_LNC072948)". The record is from RNAcentral. Lineage: Eukaryota; Viridiplantae; Streptophyta; Magnoliopsida; Arecales; Arecaceae.
UUCAUUUGACAGUUUUGAUCUAGACAAGCUCCAACCUAACCAAAACUAAAUUCCAGCUCUCCUAUGAUUUAUGACUCAUAAUUUGCAAUAUUGGAUUCAUAUGUAUGACUCACUUACUUGGUAAAGAAACAAAAAAAAUAUUGAUUGUUAGUUUUUACUUAGUUCACUAAUGUGAUUUUCAUGUGAAAUCUAAGCGGCA